CAACGCCUGGAAGACCACAGGUUCUCCAUCCUUGCCUUACGAGUUCCUUCUCAAGUAGAUGCUUUUUUAGGGUGAAUUUUGCAUCAAGGCCAGAGCUAGACUUCCUUCUUUAGGGACGAGGAGGCUGUGGGAAGUUUAUACCAGUGCACGGGGGAGAGAACAUGAUCGAUACUGAGGACUAUUUUGUUGAGUCCAAUGGCUUUUGAAUUCAACAGCCAAAGCAAUUCUGUGCGAAAGAGUCAAUUGCUGGCUCUUGAAUCCUAUAUCUAGAAUAGAGUGUAGAUGCCUAGCAAAUAUUUAGACUGGCAGCAGGGCAAGAUCUUAAACCUGCCGUGAUCAAGCAAGUCAUGUGACAUGAAAGGAAGGAAUGUCCCAUGUAAACUAUUAAAGGCCCAUCUGAUUCCAGUUGUACAGCAUGACAAAUAAUUAUAUAUGAAAUUUCUAUGCCCUGCAGAAAAAUGUUAGCCCUUUGAUCUAAGCAGAGCAUCUCGCCUGCAUCAAAGGAACAGAGCACUUUGUCCUAGGGUACUGUGAGCCAACCCAGUUUCAACAGUGUUUGCGUCUAAGGUUUUACUUCUGUGUUGUUGAGGUGUGCCAAAAGCACAUGGGACCUGUUCUGUUUUUCAAAGUAGAUGGGGAGUCUGAGCAUUGUCUUCUGGCGGAGGUCUCUCUUUCUAACAACAACAUCAUCAACAACAACAAUUUCUACCUCACCCAUCUGGCAGGGUUUCACCAGCCACUCUUAGACCUUAUCUGUUUUUGUUUAUUGUGUGCUUGCUUUGCCUUUGCUGAUUUUGGAGCCAGCUGUAGCGCUUGGGGUCGGCCAAGUGGUGUAUAGCUAAACCAUAUGGCGUGAAAGCAUGGAUAACAUGACACCCUUCAACACAGUGACUUGCUGCCCUGCCUUGUCUGCAGGAAAACACACCCACACAUAAAGCAGCACUUGGUACAUAAGGACCAUGAUGGAUGGUGGGCCUCUAGCAUGGGGAUCCAUCUGGGGUCAGCCUGGCACUUUUGCAGUUUUGUAUUCACAUUUCCUGCCUUAAAGCACCCUGUUGUCUAGCUGCAAGCUGCCAUGUGGCAUAACACAUUUCACCAUGUUGGCAUAAAAUAAGACUGCCAGCCUUAGCUCAGAACUGUCUGUGUCCCCAAUUCACAGGUGGCCAGUUCCUCAAAGGGGGUGUGCAAGAUUGCACUUCUCAACAUGGCAACAAUGUAGAGCCAUGUUCCCUCUCCCUGCAGCCCCAGCCUUUGGCUCUUGUUGAACUAUUAGCUUCCAGCAAAGCAUUUUUCACACUUCUGGUUAGCAAGCUGCAUUGAUACACCUUUUGGAGGGUUGGGAAGCGGCACAGCAUUGGGGGGGGGGGCUGCAUUUGACUCUUGUCUCCAGACAGAAGAUGAUUCCUGUUGCUUCUGUUGUGCAUUCCACAUCCAUGCAUAUUUACACAUGUUGGCCCCACUCAGUUCAGUGGGACUUACUCCCUAGUAAAUGCACAUAGUGGUGUUGUGGGGAUUCUUUUGUACCACCCCCCCUUCCCCCUUUGCAGAGCCUGCAUAUGCAACGGUGGGAAAAUCAUUGCUUUAGACUAGAGAAUUAAUUCAGGCGCUCCGUUUUGUGGAUUGGUUUGUUGAUAAAAAUGUGCCCUGUCUCAAAUGGUUUACACCGGUCUCUCAGUCUAAUUCAAGCCGAGGCCAUUCUAGAGACAAAGACAAAUGCAUUUCCCACCCUACCUUGCUAAUCAUUCUGGGCAGAGUUGUGCCACCUCAGGCCUUCAAUUCAUUUCCCUUAAACGCUUCCCUUCCUUUCUGAUCUACCUAGUUGCUGAUGAAGUGCAGCCUGGUUCAGGCUCCUUCUCCUUUGCCCCUCUCGGACUAAUUGAAUUAAGCGGAUGGGAAGUGAAUCCAAUUGACUAGAUUAAAUGAGCUGGGCACAGAUCUGGGAAGAAAUCGGGGCCUUGGAAGCGGAGCAAAGGAGCGCUUCCUGUGGCUACAGCUCUUCCGCUGCCCCGUGAACUGCACCCCCCCCCAGGUGCCAUCACUUCACCACCCUUUGCCUUUUGCUUAACCUCUCAUCCCUGGUCUUCCAGCAGCCCCUGCUGGGAAAGUGCAAUGGCUCCCCGUCUCCUCAGACAUUUCCCCCUUCACUCUCUUCUGUUGCGCAGAGCCUCCUUACUCUCCUAGGUAAUUAGUGGUUAAUUAGCCAAGCUGUCUGACUUCGGCAUGGCCCCCUCCACUCACGCUUCCCUCACGCUGGGCCUCAGGGCUGUGAGUGUGUAAUGAACUGCAGGCUGGGGAAGGCCCCAGCCACAUUUGCUCAUUUAAUUUCUGCUGCAUCAGCUUGCAAGUGCAUUGGCUUUGAGGCUCUCGCUGUGCUGGAGGGGGCCUGGGACCUCCAAGCUGUUAGGUUUAAGUUGUGCUCCGGGGAGCAAACGCUCUGGUGACAAGCACCAGCUGGGGCUAGAGGAGGCUGGAGAGCACUGUCCUCUUCAACGCCAGCAUUCCCAGACUGGCUUUCUCUCCCCGCUCCCGCCCCCAAGAAGAACUGUCCCUAGAUACUUCCACACAUCUGCUGCUAGUGGAGGGAAGAGCAUGUUUGUGAGGAUGAAACACACAGUCUCCAUUUCCCUUUCGAAAGUGAGUGGAGACGGGGUGCAAACGCCUCUAGAAAUAAUGACAUCUGAAAUGGAAGGUUUUGCCUUUUUACACUUGACAUUCCUGUCUGGUCCAUGUUUAGGGUCUCCCCAAGGUUUGGGUGACAUUUUUAUCAGCUGCUUUGAAGUUUGAAUGUGUGUGCGCGCUCUGGGCCCACACACACUCUGGGUUGUUCAACCUUUUCCUCCAAACAUCCAUAUCCUGAUGUAACUUCCCACACACCCUGCCCCAAACUAUUUUUAAAAGCCAGGAACACCAUCUGCACCUUUUCCUUCCCCCGCCCCAAUGCCUCACUACUCAUGGAGAUAUUAACAGUGGAGGGAGGGAUUUACAUAAAAGGACUAAAACCCUGUCCAGAGUAGCCACAUGAGGGUGCUUAGUUAGUUUUCUCCUCCUCCUUAACACAUACUGUAAUCCUAAUCCCAGAUCUCCCACAUGCCAAAGUUACACAAGAACAGCCCUAUCCUACCCAGCUCCCUUGCUGAUGUGGAAACUCAAAACAUUUGCUAUCACCAUCUUGCCACAUUUUAAAUCCCUGAUAGGCUGCAAUAUUUGCCAGCAAACAUGGAGUUCCUGUCCAUGAAACUGACAAGUAAUCUAUACACUGCCAUUCAUACUUAGCAGAGUUUUUAAAACUCACCUAUCCAGCCUUAAAGAUUAUUUUACCAAGUAAUAUAGAAGCAGAGGACAGGACAUGAACCUCCAUUCUUGGAAUGCUUCCUGAAUUGCGGAGGUGGCUGUGGCCUUCCUUGCAGAAUGGGAUGCCAAUCUUGCUCAUAGGUAGCAAGGCUUUAGGUUAAAAUCAAACCAGGUAUUGUUGUUGUUUAUUAAAUAUCUAUACUGCCCUUUAUCCGAGGAUCACAGGGCUGUUUACAAUAUAAAACAGAACAAUAUUCCCCACUUCAAAAAGAGGAAAAAUUAAUUAUGGUAAAAUCAAAAUGGAACAUCAGCUGUCCAGGAUUUAGAUCAUGGUGAUUUAACAUCCUGUGCUUGACUUUCCCCACAUAGUUAAGCCAUAAGAAUGGAAAUCUGCUAUUAGCUAAAGGUGUGCUUAAUAAUGGUGAUCAAUGCUCUGUCUUUGCUUAAUGAGCUGUUAAAUUGCAUCCCUGAGAUAGAUCACUAAGACCAGCCUGCCUUUGUAGCUGGGAGGUGAGGUGUUGUGUUGCAGUGGUGAGGGCAUAGUGCUCUCAUUCUAACAGAGAUACACCAUGCUUCCCUCCUAGCAGGACUGAAAGGACUUGAUAUCAAUGUUCUUCAUUUGCCCUCUUGAUUUACAAAGUCCCAGCAUUUUGGUCCUAAAGGGUUACUAUGAAUAUGGUCUCAUAAGUUUCCCACUAGCCUCAAACACUGCAGCGAGACUGUAUCUCCUGCUGCCAUCGCCCACAGCCUGCUUUUAUAUCCAGGUGAUUUUAAAGGCCUUCUAAGUGCACAACAAGCAACCCAAUUGCUUUCGAGCUCAGGUUGAUUCAGCCUUCCAGCUGCAAGCUUUGAACAUAAUGCUCUUGUAAAAUAUGCUGGUCUAUUAUUGAGGUGUAUGUGAUGGAUUUGUUAUCUGAUCUGUACCAGCAUUUGAAUAAGCACUCUUUCACAGCUGCUUUUGUUUCAAUACAGCCAAACAACAGCAACAAGUGAUGGAAGAUGUAUAUAACUGCAUGCUGCAUCUAUUUUGGCUAUGUUUGCUAAUACAUCAAGGCUGUUGGAGUCCAUUCUUUUUGUGUCUAAGCCUUUGUGAAAUGCUCCAGGCCAGAGUAAAUCAAGUAGCCACUGGAGGUUUAGCAUUGAGGUGAAAUCUAUUUCAGACAAUGCAGGUAUGACUCAAAGCAGCUUUACGUCCUGCAAAGAAGUCACUAAACAGGAAUGAUUAUGUCAUCUU
Non-coding RNA from Podarcis lilfordi (Lilford's wall lizard), 4525 nucleotides. NCBI's taxonomy places the organism in Eukaryota, Metazoa, Chordata, Lepidosauria, Squamata, Lacertidae. The record is from the annotation of a GenBank genome assembly.